This 468-nucleotide ribosomal RNA is filed under the name uncultured bacterium. RNAcentral's name for it is "partial 16S ribosomal RNA". It matches the Rfam family "Bacterial small subunit ribosomal RNA", at positions 28 to 507 of the family's 1533-position model. The record is from RNAcentral.
GACGAACGCUGGCGGCGUGCCUAACACAUGCAAGUCGAACGGAAAGGCCCUGCUUUUGUGGGGUGCUCGAGUGGCGAACGGGUGAGUAACACGUGAGUAACCUGCCCUUGACUUUGGGAUAACUUCAGGAAACUGGGGCUAAUACCGGAUAGGAGCUCCUGCUGCAUGGUGGGAGUUGGAAAGUUUCGGCGGUUGGGGAUGGACUCGCGGUUUAUCAGCUUGUUGGUGGGGUAGUGGCUUACCAGGGCAUUGACGGGUAGCCGGCCUGAGAGGGUAGCCGGCCACGUGACGACUGCGAUACGGCACAGACUGCAACAGGAGGCAACAGUGGAGAAUGUGACACAACGGGCGGGAGCCUGAUGCAGCAAAGCCGCGGGCGGGAUGACGGCCUGCGGGGUGUAAAGCGCUUUAGCCUGAGACGAAGAGUUAGUGACGGUAAUGGGUAAAGAAGCACCGGCUAACUACGUG